RNAcentral lists this ribosomal RNA (790 nucleotides) under uncultured Bacteroidota bacterium. RNAcentral describes it as "bacterial SSU rRNA". It matches the Rfam family "Bacterial small subunit ribosomal RNA", at positions 60 to 858 of the family's 1533-position model. Lineage: Bacteria; Pseudomonadati; Bacteroidota. The record is from RNAcentral.
AGUCGAGGGGUAUAGUAGCAAUACUAGAGACCGGCGCACGGGUGCGUAACGCGUAUGCAAUCUGCCUUUCACAGAGGGAUAGCCCAGAGAAAUUUGGAUUAAUACCUCAUAGUAUAGUACAACCGCAUGGUUGAACUAUUAAGGUCACAACGGUGAAAGAUGAGCAUGCGUCCCAUUAGCUAGUUGGUAAGGUAACGGCUUACCAAGGCUACGAUGGGUAGGGGUCCUGAGAGGGAGAUCCCCCACACUGGUACUGAGACACGGACCAGACUCCUACGGGAGGCAGCAGUGAGGAAUAUUGGUCAAUGGGCGCAAGCCUGAACCAGCCAUGCCGCGUGCAGGAUGACGGUCCUAUGGAUUGUAAACUGCUUUUGUACGGGAAGAAACAACUCUACGUGUAGAGUCUUGACGGUACCGUAAGAAUAAGGAUCGGCUAACUCCGUGCCAGCAGCCGCGGUAAUACGGAGGAUCCAAGCGUUAUCCGGAAUCAUUGGGUUUAAAGGGUCCGUAGGCGGUUUAGUAAGUCAGUGGUGAAAGCCCAUCGCUCAACGGUGGAACGGCCAUUGAUACUGCUAGACUUGAAUUAUUAGGAAGCAACUAGAAUAUGUAGUGUAGCGGUGAAAUGCUUAGAGAUUACAUGGAAUACCAAUUGCGAAGGCAGGUUGCUACUAAUGGAUUGACGCUGAUGGACGAAAGCGUGGGUAGCGAACAGGAUUAGAUACCCUGGUAGUCCACGCCGUAAACGAUGGAUACUAGCUGUUGGGAGCGAUCUCAGUGGCUAAGCGAAAGU